This 501-nucleotide ribosomal RNA is filed under the name uncultured bacterium. RNAcentral describes it as "SSU rRNA". It matches the Rfam family "Bacterial small subunit ribosomal RNA", at positions 26 to 508 of the family's 1533-position model. The record is from RNAcentral.
AGAGCGAACGUUAGCGGCGGGCCUAACACAUGCAAGUCGAGCGAGAAAGUGGGGCAACCCAUCAGUAAAGCGGCGGACGGGUGAGUAACACGUAGGUAAUCUUCCCUUGAGCGGGGGACAACAGUUCGAAAGGACUGCUAAUACCGCAUAAGUUUCCGGGACCUUCGGUUUCUGGAAGGAAAGCUAGGUAGCAAUAUCCGGCACUCGAGGAGGAGCCUGCGUCGCAUCAGCUAGUUGGUGGGGUAAUGGCCUACCAAGGCUAAGACGCGUAGCUGGUCUGAGAGGAUGAUCAGCCACACUGGGACUGAGACACGGCCCAGACUCCUACGGGAGGCAGCAGUGGGGAAUAUUGGACAAUGGGCGCAAGCCUGAUCCAGCCACGCCGCGUGAGUGAUGAAGGCCUUCGGGUCGUAAAGCUCGUGUGGGGAGGGACGAACCGCUGAUGGUUAAUAGCCAGCAGCAUGACGGUACCUCCUUAGCAAGCACCGGCUAACUUCGCCG